GAUGAACGCUGGCGGCGUGCUUAACACAUGCAAGUCGAACGGACAGAGGGAGCUUGCUCCCAAAGUUAGUGGCGGACGGGUGAGUAACGCGUGGGUAACCUGCCCUAUGCAGGGGGAUAACAAUGAGAAAUCAUUGCUAAUACCGCACAACCUAAGAAGUUUGCAUGAACUUCUUAGAAAAGGUUUAUCGGCAUAGGAUGGACCCGCGUUAGAUUAGCUAGUUGGUGAGCUAACAGACCACCAAGGCAACGAUAUAUAGCCGGCCUGAGAGGGAGAACGGCCAAACUGGGACUGAGACACGGCCCAGACUCCUACGGGAGGCAGCAGUGGGGAAUAUUGCACAGUGGGCGCAAGCCUGAUGCAGCGACGCCGCGUGAAGGAUGAAGGUCUUCGGAUCGUAAACUUCUAUCAGCAGGGAAGAAAUAUGACGGUACCUGACUAAGAAGCCCCGGCUAACUACGUGCCAGCAGCCGCAGUAA
This 479-nucleotide ribosomal RNA is filed under the name uncultured bacterium. RNAcentral describes it as "partial 16S ribosomal RNA". It matches the Rfam family "Bacterial small subunit ribosomal RNA", at positions 28 to 523 of the family's 1533-position model. The record is from RNAcentral.